UACGUAGGGGGCAAGCGUUAUCCGGAUUUACUGGGUGUAAAGGGAGCGUAGACGGCAGCGCAAGUCUGGAGUGAAAUGCCGGGGCCCAACCCCGGAACUGCUUUGGAAACUGUGCAGCUCGAGUGCAGGAGAGGUAAGCGGAAUUCCUAGUGUAGCGGUGAAAUGCGUAGAUAUUAGGAGGAACACCAGUGGUGAAGGCGGCUUACUGGACUGUAACUGACGUUGAGGCUCGAAAGCGUGGGGAGCAAACAGG
RNAcentral lists this ribosomal RNA (253 nucleotides) under uncultured bacterium. RNAcentral describes it as "partial 16S ribosomal RNA". It matches the Rfam family "Bacterial small subunit ribosomal RNA", at positions 524 to 776 of the family's 1533-position model. The record is from RNAcentral.